This 587-nucleotide long non-coding RNA is filed under the name Rattus norvegicus (Norway rat). RNAcentral's name for it is "long non-coding RNA NONRATT005352". Lineage: Eukaryota; Metazoa; Chordata; Mammalia; Rodentia; Muridae. The record is from RNAcentral.
UCAGAGAAGAAAAGACAGGGGCUGUGUCUGUAACUCACGGAACCCAGUACUGCCUCCGCCAUCUUGCAGCCAGGGAUGACAGGUGAAGGGGUAACAGAUGUGAAGAGAAGAGGUAUGGCUUCUAAGUCACUUGCCAGCACCCGCUUUAUAACUGCCUCUCCACCUCAUCCCCACACAGAGCACACACCCUAAGCCCCAAGUGGUGGUAUUGCCACCAGGCAGCAUUGUCUGAAAACACAGCCUCUCCAUCAAAUGCUUUCACUAUUGGACACAGAAUGCUUCUCUAUCUCUGGCAGGGCAGACAUUCAACGACCUCAUGGAUUUUCCUUUAUGUGUAAUCCAGUGAAAAAUAUGCCUUUGUCUUUCAUUUUUCACCCCGAACCUUAGAACGGGACUCAAAAUCUCAUGGCCAUUCACAUCACUGCCAAAGGUUUCUAUUUAUCUGAGUCUAUAACAUAUCAAUAACUGCCCCCUGAGGGUGCAUUUGGCUUGGAUUGUAAACCCCAAGUGUCUAAAGAGAGAGUCUCUGUAAAAUCCGUAGGAUUUAUCUGGUGAAGCACUGCAUCCUUAAUAAAAAAAAAAAAAAA